RNAcentral lists this ribosomal RNA (302 nucleotides) under uncultured bacterium. RNAcentral describes it as "partial 16S ribosomal RNA". It matches the Rfam family "Bacterial small subunit ribosomal RNA", at positions 508 to 809 of the family's 1533-position model. The record is from RNAcentral.
GCAGUAGCCACGGUAAUACGUAGGGUGCAAGCGUUAAUCGGAAUUACUGGGCGUAAAGCGUGCGCAGGCGGUUUGUUAAGACAGAUGUGAAAUCCCCGGGCUCAACCUGGGAACUGCAUUUGUGACUGGCAAGCUAGAGUCUGGCAGAGGGGGGUGGAAUUCCGCGUGUAGCAGUGAAAUGCGUAGAUAUGCGGAGGAACACCGAUGGCGAAGGCAGCCCCCUGGGCCAACACUGACGCUCAUGCACGAAAGCGUGGGGAGCAAACAGGAUUAGAUACCCCUGUAGUCCCUGUCUCUUAUAA